RNAcentral lists this ribosomal RNA (490 nucleotides) under uncultured bacterium. RNAcentral's name for it is "partial 16S ribosomal RNA". It matches the Rfam family "Bacterial small subunit ribosomal RNA", at positions 30 to 507 of the family's 1533-position model. The record is from RNAcentral.
AUUGAACGCUGGCGGCAGGCCUAACACAUGCAAGUCGAACGGUAACAGGAAGCAGCUUGCUGCUUCGCUGACGAGUGGCGGACGGGUGAGUAAUGUCUGGGAAGCUGCCUGAUGGAGGGGGAUAACUACUGGAAACGGUAGCUAAUACCGCAUAAUGUCGCAAGACCAAAGAGGGGGACCUUCGGGCCUCUUGCCAUCGGAUGUGCCCAGAUGGGAUUAGCUUGUUGGUGGGGUAACGGCUCACCAAGGCGACGAUCCCUAGCUGGUCUGAGAGGAUGACCAGCCACACUGGAACUGAGACACGGUCCAGACUCCUACGGGAGGCAGCAGUGGGGAAUAUUGCACAAUGGGCGCAAGCCUGAUGCAGCCAUGCCGCGUGUAUGAAGAAGGCCUUCGGGUUGUAAAGUGCUUUCAGCGGGGAGGAAGGGAGUAAAGUUAAUACCUUUGCUCAUUGACGUUACCCGCAGAAGAAGCACCGGCUAACUCCGUG